Long non-coding RNA from Cyprinus carpio (common carp), 1763 nucleotides. RefSeq lists it as uncharacterized. The record is from RefSeq and is a predicted model, not a curated record. The transcript has 3 exons. NCBI's taxonomy places the organism in Eukaryota, Metazoa, Chordata, Actinopteri, Cypriniformes, Cyprinidae.
CUCUCGGAUGACUUCAAGCCCUUGGUAGUGUGCACUUGUGAUGGAAAGAAGCUUCAGAGGAUUGUUCACAGAUGGCUGCAGAGGUCACUGACGAGGUCCAGAAGAGAUUACAGGACAAUCCCAGAAUGCAUUGCACAAAAUCCACUGAAGAUGGAAGAAAUGUUGAUUAUAUAUAGACGGAGCAGCUGAUCCCUCAGACGCAGAUGUGAUUCAGUGGCGCUUAAAGAAGACAACGAAUCAUGUGAGGAGCAGAGACACAAGUGAGAGAUCAACAAAAUAAAAACAAUUAUUGUUGUUCCUCUGAAACUUAAGAGUGAAUCUCAGAAAGACAUGCCAAGGUCGCAUUUCACCUCAAUUAUUUCUCAAUUAUUUCUCAAGGGCAUUCAAGGACAAGGAAGUACUUAUUUCUCUAAUGAGUCAUUUUUAUCUAGUGUAUUAUUUCUUAUAUUUCCUUUUCAAGCUAAAAACUGUAUGUUACAAAAAUUGAAAACUCCCAAUUUCAUGUUGUUUGUCUCUUGUAAAGAUGUUUGGACACCCAAGGAUGUGUAACUGUAUUUGUCAGUUUUGGAGGAGAGGAUUUUCAUGGAUUAUCAGACUCAGGCCUCGAGGACCUGUUAUUGAACAGUGAAAGUAAAGCUUCUGGAAACAAACGCUCCUCAAAAGAUCCUGAUGAUCAGAUUUGAGACUCUAAAACAUGAUUGAUGGAGAAUCAAGUAAAGCUGAGCUGCUUCAGUCUGGAGAUAUUACUGCAGUUAUUCUGACCUUUACUUGAUCAAAACCAGUCAAGAUUUGAUACAAGAAGCAUUUCUACAAUCACACUAAAAGAGCUUUUACUGGAUAAAAACUUGAACGACAACAUAACAAAGUUUGAUUAUUUUAGAGACCUUAGAAUUUAAGUCAGAUAUGAUGCAGCAGCUUUAAAGGUUCAGAGGAAAUGUUAACAAGCUAUUUUUCUCUAAAUGGAAUUGAAAAUAAAUGACGGACUCACGAGUCUGUGGGAGUCUGAGUGAUGUAUGCAAAAACUGUGGGAUGAAACGAAUGCUAAUCAUCUCCAAACUAGUGGACAAACAAACUUGGAUAAGUAUGAAUUGCAGCAUUGCAGAUAUUUAUUUCUUCCCAAAGAAAAGCAGUGAAAUAGCACUCAGGCUGAGUCCAUAAAUCAUAAAGAGUGGAGCUGAAUGUUCCAGAAGCUGCUAGGGAACUGAGGAAUGUAAAGCUCAUCUGAUUAUCUAUUUAUUACCAAACACUGGUGGAUCUGCUGUGCUUACAGUAGUGCUGAGAGCAGCGGCGUGGACUUGGACGAUCUCUCGGGCGGCUCACUUGUCACAUGCGUCCGGCUCCGUGGGUUCAAGAAGGAGCUCUGCUUUUGCUGAGGAUUGAUGAGAUGAUACGGAUUGAUCUCACGCCGUCGUGUCCUACUGGACGGCAAGCCGGUGGAGACAAUGGUGCUGGAGAAAGCAGUAGUUCAGGCAAAAAUAAACCUGCUGUUUCAGACUGAAACUGUACAAACAGACAUGAAUGCAGACGCUUCAGUCUACUGCGUGCAUGAUCAGUUUCAUGCGGUUUUGUGAAUGUCGUGAUGCAUUUCAUUCACUCUCUUUCAGCUCAGCUACUGUCUUCACAAGUAGUGCGAGUUAUGAAAUAAUAGUAUGCAUUGUACUGUAAUGUAUUACUUUUAAAAGUAACUUUCCCCAACACUUAUCUUCACAGAGCUACAGUUAAACUGUUGAAAUGUUUAUAUCUAGUAUACCUGGUUAUUAAAC